AACGCAUAUUGCGCCCUUUGGUAUUCCGAAGGGCAUGCCUGUUCGAGCGUCAUUAAUACCCUAUCAAGCUUGGCUUGUUGUUGGGCCCUUUUGUCACUGGGUGACAGGUCCGAAAGACAAUGGCCGGUGUCAUACAGACUCCCUAUGCAACGAGCUUAUAACGGCACGCAUCUGGUGGUUAUGUGACCUGGUUUGCACCCUUUCUUUCUCAAGGUUGACCUCGGAUCAGGUAGGAAUACCCGCUGAACUUAA
Molecule: unclassified non-coding RNA, 252 nt
Filed under: uncultured Chaetothyriales
Lineage: Eukaryota; Fungi; Ascomycota; Eurotiomycetes; Chaetothyriales
Description: sequence contains 5.8S rRNA gene, ITS2, 28S rRNA gene
Rfam family: 5.8S ribosomal RNA (bases 1-52)
Source: RNAcentral